GAUGAACGCUGGCGGCGUGCCUAAUACAUGCAAGUCGAGCGAACAGACGAGGAGCUUGCUCCUCUGACGUUAGCGGCGGACGGGUGAGUAACACGUGGAUAACCUACCUAUAAGACUGGGAUAACUUCGGGAAACCGGAGCUAAUACCGGAUAAUAUAUUGAACCGCAUGGUUCAAUAGUGAAAGACGGUUUUGCUGUCACUUAUAGAUGGAUCCGCGCCGCAUUAGCUAGUUGGUAAGGUAACGGCUUACCAAGGCAACGAUGCGUAGCCGACCUGAGAGGGGGAUCGGCCACACUGGAACUGAGACACGGUCCAGACUCCUACGGGAGGCAGCAGUAGGGAAUCUUCCGCAAUGGGCGAAAGCCUGACGGAGCAACGCCGCGUGAGUGAUGAAGGUCUUCGGAUCGUAAAACUCUGUUAUUGGGAAGAACAAAUGUGUAAGUAACUAUGCACGUCUUGACGGUACCUAAUCAGAAAGCCACGGCUAACUACGUG
RNAcentral lists this ribosomal RNA (496 nucleotides) under uncultured bacterium. RNAcentral's name for it is "partial 16S ribosomal RNA". It matches the Rfam family "Bacterial small subunit ribosomal RNA", at positions 28 to 507 of the family's 1533-position model. The record is from RNAcentral.